UACGAAGGGGGCUAGCGUUGUUCGGAAUUACUGGGCGUAAAGCGCACGUAGGCGGAUACUUAAGUCAGGGGUGAAAUCCCGGGGCUCAACCCCGGAACUGCCUUUGAUACUGGGUAUCUCGAGUCCGGAAGAGGUGAGUGGAAUUCCGAGUGUAGAGGUGAAAUUCGUAGAUAUUCGGAGGAACACCAGUGGCGAAGGCGGCUCACUGGGCCGGUACUGACGCUGAGGUGCGAAAGCGUGGGGAGCAAACAGG
This 253-nucleotide ribosomal RNA is filed under the name uncultured bacterium. RNAcentral describes it as "partial 16S ribosomal RNA". It matches the Rfam family "Bacterial small subunit ribosomal RNA", at positions 524 to 776 of the family's 1533-position model. The record is from RNAcentral.